GGGGCUGCACUGGUUUCGACGUGGGUUCGGAAUCGCAGCGGUGCAUGUCGAGCUGAAUGCGCUCGUAAAACAGAUUCAAACAAACUAACUGCAAACGACGAACGUUUCGCACUCGCUGCUUAAUUGCCAGUGAGCCUUGCAACAGUUGGCCGAUGGGCUGG
RNAcentral lists this transfer-messenger RNA (161 nucleotides) under Variovorax sp. RNAcentral's name for it is "partial transfer-messenger RNA". It matches the Rfam family "transfer-messenger RNA", at positions 1 to 179 of the family's 374-position model. Rfam says of the family: Bacterial tmRNA, also known as 10Sa RNA or SsrA, is named for its dual tRNA and mRNA-like properties. Its role is to liberate the mRNA from a stalled ribosome. Lineage: Bacteria; Pseudomonadati; Pseudomonadota; Betaproteobacteria; Burkholderiales; Comamonadaceae. The record is from RNAcentral.